GGACGAACGCUGGCGGCGUGCUUAACACAUGCAAGUCGAACGAUGAAGCCCAGCUUGCUGGGUGGAAGAGUGGCGAACGGGUGAGUAACACGUGAGUAACCUGCCCUUCACUCUGGGAUAAGCGCUGGAAACGGUGUCUAAUACUGGAUACGACCCUUACAGGCAUCUGUUGGGGGUGGAAAGAUUUAUCGGUGAAGGAUGGGCUCGCGGCCUAUCAGGUAGUUGGUGAGGUAACGGCUCACCAAGCCGACGACGGGUAGUCGGCCUGAGAGGGUGACCGGCCACACUGGGACUGAGACACGGCCCNNACUCCUACGGGAGGCAGCAGUGGGGAAUAUUGCACAAUGGGCGAAAGCCUGAUGCAGCAACGCCGCGUGAGGGAUGACGGCCUUCGGGUUGUAAACCUCUUUUAGUAGGGAAGAAGCGUAAGUGACGGUACCUGCAGAAAAAGCACCGGCUAACUACGUGCCAGCAGCCGCGGUAAUACGUAGGGUGCAAGCGUUGUCCGGAAUUAUUGGGCGUAAAGAGCUCGUAGGCGGCUUGUCGCGUCUGCUGUGAAAUCCCGGAGCUCAACUCCGGGCCUGCAGUGGGUACGGGCAGGCUAGCGUGCGGUAGGGGAGAUUGGAAUUCCUGGUGUAGCGGUGGAAUGCGCAGAUAUCAGGAGGAACACCGAUGGCGAAGGCAGAUCUCUGGGCCGCUACUGACGCUGAGGAGCGAAAGCAUGGGGAGCGAACAGGAUUAGAUACCCUGGUAGUCCAUGCCGUAAACGUUGGGAACUAGAUGUAGGGCCUGUUCCACGGGUUCUGUGUCGUAGCUAACGCAUUAAGUUCCCCGCCUGGGGAGUACGGCCGCAAGGCUAAAACUCAAAGGAAUUGACGGGGGCCCGCACAAGCGGCGGAGCAUGCGGAUUAAUUCGAUGCAACGCGAAGAACCUUACCAGGGUUUGACAUCAUACUGCCCUCUGUAGAAAUACAGACUUCCGCUUCGGCGGACAGUAUGACAGGUGUUGCAUGGUUGUCGUCAGCUCGUGUCGUGAGAUGUUGGGUUAAGUCCCGCAACGAGCGCAACCCCUAUCCAAUGUUGCCAACAGGUAAAGCUGGGGACUCAUUGGAGACUGCCGGAGACGAUCUGGAGGAAGGUGGGGAUGAGGUCAAAUCAUCAUGGCCCUUAAGCCCUGGGCUACACACGCGCUACAAUGGUCGGUACAACGGGCAGCGAAGGAGCGAUCUGGAGCGAAUCCCAAAAAGCCGGCCCCAGUUGGAAUCGCAGGCUGAAACUCGCCUGCGUGAACACGGAAUUGCUAGUAAUCGCGAAUCAGCUACGUCGCGGUGAAUACGUUCCCGGGCCU
Molecule: ribosomal RNA, 1348 nt
Filed under: uncultured bacterium
Lineage: Bacteria
Description: bacterial SSU rRNA
Rfam family: Bacterial small subunit ribosomal RNA
Source: RNAcentral